This 791-nucleotide ribosomal RNA is filed under the name uncultured bacterium. Its description in RNAcentral is "bacterial SSU rRNA". It matches the Rfam family "Bacterial small subunit ribosomal RNA", at positions 8 to 796 of the family's 1533-position model. The record is from RNAcentral.
AGAGUUUGAUCAUGGCUCAGGACGAACGCUGGCGGCAUGCUUUACACAUGCAAGUCGAACGGUAACAGGCCGCAAGGUGCUGACGAGUGGCGAACGGGUGAGUAAUGCAUCGGAACGUGCCCAGUCGUGGGGGAUAACGCAGCGAAAGCUGCGCUAAUACCGCAUACGAUCUAUGGAUGAAAGCGGGGGACCGUAAGGCCUCGCGCGAUUGGAGCGGCCGAUGUCAGAUUAGGUAGUUGGUGGGGUAAAGGCUCACCAAGCCGACGAUCUGUAGCUGGUCUGAGAGGACGACCAGCCACACUGGGACUGAGACACGGCCCAGACUCCUACGGGAGGCAGCAGUGGGGAAUUUUGGACAAUGGGCGCAAGCCUGAUCCAGCAAUGCCGCGUGCAGGAUGAAGGCCUUCGGGUUGUAAACUGCUUUUGUACGGAGCGAAAAGGCUUCCACUAAUACUGGGGGCUCAUGACGGUACCGUAAGAAUAAGCACCGGCUAACUACGUGCCAGCAGCCGCGGUAAUACGUAGGGUGCAAGCGUUAAUCGGAAUUACUGGGCGUAAAGCGUGCGCAGGCGGUCUUGUAAGACAGGUGUGAAAUCCCCGGGCUUAACCUGGGGACUGCACUUGUGACUGCAAGGCUGGAGUACGGCAGAGGGGGAUGGAAUUCCGCGUGUAGCAGUGAAAUGCGUAGAUAUGCGGAGGAACACCGAUGGCGAAGGCAAUCCCCUGGGCCUGUACUGACGCUCAUGCACGAAAGCGUGGGGAGCAAACAGGAUUAGAUACCCCGGUAGUCC